Molecule: long non-coding RNA, 462 nt
Filed under: Homo sapiens (human)
Lineage: Eukaryota; Metazoa; Chordata; Mammalia; Primates; Hominidae
Description: non-protein coding lnc-FGB-2:1
Source: RNAcentral
AAGACUCAGAUUAUAGAAACAUCAUGUUCCUUACCUUCACCAGGGCUAAAUGUGUCAUUCUCUGCUCAUCCUGAAAACAAUGAAUUGAUCCUUUUUGGAGGUGGAUAUUUUAAUAGCAAAAAAAAAAAAAAAAAAAAAAACUUGCUUAUAUAACCACCUCUAUAUCUACAAUACCAGAAAAGACACCUGGAUUAAAGUCAAAAUUCCCAAUGCACUUCUGGAGCACUGUGCUUUCCAGGCUGUGGUGGUGCAUUGAUAUGACAGACAGGUUAUGAGCAUUUGCAGGGGAGCUUGCUUCUCCUGAUGGACAGCAGUUCUACGACUACAAGGAUCUCUGUGUCCUGCAUCUGGCCACCAAAACCUGGAAACUAGUUGAAUCAACAGGGGCUUGUUUAGAUCACAGUGGACAGCAGACAGUAGCCUGGAAGACACAGCUAAUUCUUUUUGGUGGUUUUCAUGAGA